CAAGUCUUGACAUCCCUCUGAAACCUCUAGAGAUAGAGGCGGCCUUCGGGAACAUUGAGACAGGUGCUGCAUGGCUGUCGUCAGCUCGUGUCGUGAGAUGUUGGGUUAAGUCCCGUAACGAGCGCAACCCUUGUCCUUAGUUACCAGCACGUCAUGGUGGGCACUCUAAGGAGACUGCCGGUGACAAACCGGAGGAAGGUGGGGAUGACGUCAAGUCACCAUGGCCCUUACGGCCUGGGCUACACACGUGCUACAAUGGUCGGUACAGAGGGUUGCCAAGCCGCGAGGUGGAGCUAAUCCCAUAAAACCGAUCGUAGUCCGGAUCGCAGUCUGCAACUCGACUGCGUGAAGUCGGAAUCGCUAGUAAUCGCGAAUCAGAAUGUCGCGGUGAAUACGUUCCC
This 401-nucleotide ribosomal RNA is filed under the name uncultured bacterium. RNAcentral's name for it is "bacterial SSU rRNA". It matches the Rfam family "Bacterial small subunit ribosomal RNA", at positions 975 to 1375 of the family's 1533-position model. The record is from RNAcentral.